UACCGGGUGACCGGAUGCCGAUCUCGAAAACCUGUCCCAGUUCGGACUGGAGUCUGCAACCCGACUCCACGAAGUUGGAUUCGCUAGUAAUCGCGCAUCAGCCAUGGCGCGGUGAAUACGUUCCCGGGCCUUGUACACACCGCCCGUCAAGCCAUGGGAGCCGGGGGCGCUUGAAGUGCGUCGCCGCGAGGCGCGCCCUAGAGCGAGACCGGUGACUGGGGCUAAGUCGUAACAAGGUACC
This 241-nucleotide ribosomal RNA is filed under the name uncultured bacterium. RNAcentral describes it as "partial 16S ribosomal RNA". It matches the Rfam family "Bacterial small subunit ribosomal RNA", at positions 1251 to 1500 of the family's 1533-position model. The record is from RNAcentral.